Molecule: regulatory RNA element, 46 nt
Organism: Anolis carolinensis (green anole)
Lineage: Eukaryota; Metazoa; Chordata; Lepidosauria; Squamata; Anolidae
Rfam family: Histone 3' UTR stem-loop
About the family: The mRNAs of metazoan histone genes lack a poly-A tail. 3' end processing occurs at a site between a highly conserved stem-loop (modelled by this family) and a purine rich region around 20 nts downstream (the histone downstream element, or HDE).
Source: Rfam
CCAAAGGCUCUUUUCAGAGCCACCCAACUUUUCAUUUUGAAAGGAG